AGAAGAAGAAAGGCCACAACAACAACAAGGAAUAAACGAUGGAGAUCUUUACCUCACUAUUGCAGAGACAUACAAGACUGAUGUGAGAGUCCAAACCUGGCCCUGCCAGCAAGACAAGCCAUACUGCGAACAAAAUCAACCCCAAGUGAUCAAUAUUAAAUCUGUAAAAGCUAAUCUGGGUAACGGGGAGGUUAAGUGGACGGCCGGUGUUGAUCAUUCCAAGUGGUGUGUAGCUAAAGAUAAUAACAAUCAUUUGAUCUGUAUCGCUGAUGUAAACAGAGCACUCAGCCAAUACAAAAGGCCGGGGGGCGGGCUGUGCUUUGUCCAUCAACAGGUGAGUGAACUAUUUAAAGGUGUAAUUGAUCAAACUGAGGAUUGCUCCAGUAAGCUCCCCCGUGUCUCGGACCCUGACUGUGACCCUGAUGCUGGAUCACUGAGUGAUGGGAUAAAUAAGCCUCUCCCUUUGAGUCCACUUUUGUUUGGGUCUCUGUGUGCUUUGGUUUAUCAUUUUCAAAUGAUUAUAAAUUGACAUUUCUGAAUCCAUAGUUUAA
Long non-coding RNA from Sander lucioperca (pikeperch), 551 nucleotides. RefSeq lists it as uncharacterized. Lineage: Eukaryota; Metazoa; Chordata; Actinopteri; Perciformes; Percidae. The transcript has 2 exons. The record is from RefSeq and is a predicted model, not a curated record.